This 905-nucleotide ribosomal RNA is filed under the name Usnea florida. Its description in RNAcentral is "eukaryotic LSU rRNA". It matches the Rfam family "Eukaryotic large subunit ribosomal RNA", at positions 1 to 921 of the family's 3401-position model. RNAcentral also lists the same sequence under 1 other name. The record is from RNAcentral. Lineage: Eukaryota; Fungi; Ascomycota; Lecanoromycetes; Lecanorales; Parmeliaceae.
AUUGACCUCGGAUCAGGUAGGGAUACCCGCUGAACUUAAGCAUAUCAAUAAGCGGAGGAAAAGAAACCAACAGGGAUUGCCUCAGUAACGGCGAGUGAAGCGGCAACAGCUCAAAUUUGAAAUCUGGCCCCGUCGGGGUCCGAGUUGUAAUUUGUAGAGAGUGUUUCGGGUGAGACCACGGUCUAAGUCUAUUGGAACAUGGCGUCAUAGAGGGUGAGAAUCCCGUAUGUGACCGUGGCUCGAGCCCAUGUGAAGCCUCUUCGACGAGUCGAGUUGUUUGGGAAUGCAGCUCAAAAUGGGUGGUAAAUUUCAUCUAAAGCUAAAUACUGGCUGGAGACCGAUAGCGCACAAGUAGAGUGAUCGAAAGAUGAAAAGCACUUUGGAAAGAGAGUCAAAAAGUACGUGAAAUUGUUGAAAGGGAAGCGCUUGCAACCAGACCUGUCCGUAGGUGAUCAACCGCUGUUCUCAGUGGUGCACUCGCUCUGCGAUCAGGCCAGCAUCGGUUCCGGCGGUCGGAUAAAGGCCUUGGGAAUGUAGCUCCCUUCGGGGAGUCUUAUAGCCCUCGGUGCAAUGCGGCCAGCCGGGACCGAGGACCGCGCUUCGGCUAGGAUGCUGGCGUAAUGGUUGUAAGCGACCCGUCUUGAAACACGGACCAAGGAGUCUAACAUCUAUGCGAGUGUUUGGGUGUUAAACCCAUGCGCGGAAUGAAAGUGAACGGAGGUGAGAACCCUUUAGGGCGCAUCAUCGACCGAUCCAGAUGUCUUCGGAUGGAUUUGAGUAUGAGCAUAGCUGUUGGGACCCGAAAGAUGGUGAACUAUGCCUGAAUAGGGUGAAGCCAGAGGAAACUCUGGUGGAGGCUCGCAGCGGUUCUGACGUGCAAAUCGAUCGUCAAAUUUGGGUAUAGG